This 164-nucleotide ribosomal RNA is filed under the name uncultured bacterium. Its description in RNAcentral is "partial 16S rRNA". It matches the Rfam family "Bacterial small subunit ribosomal RNA", at positions 355 to 511 of the family's 1533-position model. The record is from RNAcentral.
UAGGGAAUCUUCCACAAUGGACGAAAGUCUGAUGGAGCAACGCCGCGUGAGUGAAGAAGGGUUUCGGCUCGUAAAACUCUGUUGUUAAAGAAGAACAUGUCUGAGAGUAACUGUUCAGGUAUUGACGGUAUUUGACCAGAAAGCCACGGCUAACUACGUGCCAG